AGAUUUUUUAAAUUGCUGUGGUAUUUUGACUAUACGAAGGUAUUGAAAUAAGGCUUUAAUUGAGUGCUAAGUGAAUGGUUAAACAAGGAUUAACUUUCUUUAAAUUUAAAAUAAAAGUUAAUUUAAAAAUGAAAAAGUUUUUAUAUUUUUUUGGGACAAGAAGACCCUAUGAAUUUUUUUUUAUAAUUUUAUUUUAAAUUUAUAAAAAAGAAAAUGAGAUGAAAUUAUAAGUUAAUUGGGGUGAUUUUUAAAGAAUAAUUAUCUUUAAAAGAGGAAGGAAUUAGAACCAAAAUUUUUGGUAGUUUGAUUAAAAUACUCUAGGGAUAACAGCGUUAUUAUUUUGGAUAGUUCAUAUAGAUAAAAUAGUUUGCGACCUCGAUGUUGGAUUAAGAUACUUUUAUAAUGAAGUAGUUAUAUAAAGAAGUUUGCUCAACUUUUAAAUUCUUACUUGAUCUGAGUUAGACCGGACAGCCUUUUAAAAAUCUU
Molecule: ribosomal RNA, 486 nt
Filed under: Alectorobius capensis
Lineage: Eukaryota; Metazoa; Arthropoda; Arachnida; Ixodida; Argasidae
Description: Ornithodoros capensis partial 16S ribosomal RNA
Source: RNAcentral